UCUUUCCUCCCGAGUGCUUGCACUCAAUUGGAAAGAGGAGUGGCGGACGGGUGAGUAACACGUGGGUAACCUACCCAUCAGAGGGGGAUAACACUUGGAAACAGGUGCUAAUACCGCGUAACAGUUUAUGCCGCAUGGCAUAAGAGUGAAAGGCGCUUUCGGGUGUCGCUGAUGGAUGGACCCGCGGUGCAUUAGCUAGUUGGUGAGGUAACGGCUCACCAAGGCCACGAUGCAUAGCCGACCUGAGAGGGUGAUCGGCCACACUGGGACUGAGACACGGCCCAGACUCCUACGGGAGGCAGCAGUAGGGAAUCUUCGGCAAUGGACGAAAGUCUGACCGAGCAACGCCGCGUGAGUGAAGAAGGUUUUCGGAUCGUAAAACUCUGUUGUUAGAGAAGAACAAGGACGUUAGUAACUGAACGUCCCCUGACGGUAUCUAACCAGAAAGCCACGGCUAACUACGUGCCAGCAGCCGCGGUAAUACGUAGGUGGCAAGCGUUGUCCGGAUUUAUUGGGCGUAAAGCGAGCGCAGGCGGUUUCUUAAGUCUGAUGUGAAAGCCCCCGGCUCAACCGGGGAGGGUCAUUGGAAACUGGGAGACUUGAGUGCAGAAGAGGAGAGUGGAAUUCCAUGUGUAGCGGUGAAAUGCGUAGAUAUAUGGAGGAACACCAGUGGCGAAGGCGGCUCUCUGGUCUG
This 694-nucleotide ribosomal RNA is filed under the name uncultured Bacilli bacterium. RNAcentral describes it as "bacterial SSU rRNA". It matches the Rfam family "Bacterial small subunit ribosomal RNA", at positions 62 to 736 of the family's 1533-position model. The record is from RNAcentral. Lineage: Bacteria; Bacillati; Bacillota; Bacilli.